UACGGAGGGUGCAAGCGUUAAUCGGAAUUACUGGGCGUAAAGGGUGCGUAGGUGGUUGUAUAAGUUAACUGUGAAAUCCCCGGGCUCAACCUGGGCAGGUCAGUUAAGACUGUAUGACUCGAGUAUGGGAGAGGGUAGUGGAAUUUCCGGUGUAGCGGUGAAAUGCGUAGAGAUCGGAAGGAACACCAGUGGCGAAGGCGGCUACCUGGCCCAAUACUGACACUGAGGCACGAAAGCGUGGGGAGCAAACAGGAUUAGAUACCCCCGUAGUCC
This 273-nucleotide ribosomal RNA is filed under the name uncultured bacterium. RNAcentral's name for it is "partial 16S ribosomal RNA". It matches the Rfam family "Bacterial small subunit ribosomal RNA", at positions 524 to 796 of the family's 1533-position model. The record is from RNAcentral.